UCCUCCACCCAGUGGAAUUUGGGGUGAUC
This 29-nucleotide non-coding RNA is filed under the name Homo sapiens (human). Lineage: Eukaryota; Metazoa; Chordata; Mammalia; Primates; Hominidae. The record is from RNAcentral.